AGUGAACGCUGGCGGUAGGCCUAACACAUGCAAGUCGAACGGCAGCACAGUAGAGCUUGCUCUUACGGGUGGCGAGUGGCGGACGGGUGAGGAAUACAUCGGAAUCUACUUUUUCGUGGGGGAUAACGUAGGGAAACUUAUGCUAAUACCGCAUACGACCUACGGGUGAAAGCAGGGGAUCUUCGGACCUUGCGCGAUUGAAUGAGCCGAUGUCGGAUUAGCUAGUUGGCGGGGUAAAGGCCCACCAAGGCGACGAUCCGUAGCUGGUCUGAGAGGAUGAUCAGCCACACUGGAACUGAGACACGGUCCAGACUCCUACGGGAGGCAGCAGUGGGGAAUAUUGGGCAAUGGGCGCAAGCCUGAUCCAGCCAUACCGCGUGGGUGAAGAAGGCCUUCGGGUUGUAAAGCCCUUUUGUUGGGAAAGAAAAGCAGCAGGUUAAUACCCCGCUGUUCUGACGGUACCCAAAGAAUAAGCACCGGCUAACUUCGUG
This 491-nucleotide ribosomal RNA is filed under the name uncultured bacterium. RNAcentral describes it as "partial 16S ribosomal RNA". It matches the Rfam family "Bacterial small subunit ribosomal RNA", at positions 29 to 507 of the family's 1533-position model. The record is from RNAcentral.